This 118-nucleotide ribosomal RNA is filed under the name Aeromonas salmonicida subsp. masoucida NBRC 13784. The record is from RNAcentral. Lineage: Bacteria; Pseudomonadati; Pseudomonadota; Gammaproteobacteria; Aeromonadales; Aeromonadaceae.
UGCCUGGCGGCUAUAGCGCCGUGGAACGACCUGAUCCCAUGCCGAACUCAGAAGUGAAACGCGGUAGCGCCGAUGGUAGUGUGGCAUUCGCCAUGCGAGAGUAGGACACUGCCAGGCA